GUUAAAUCGAGAUAUUACAGUUGGAUUUCGUGACUGGUCAAGCCCCACCCCUCUGACUGUGGUGUGGGUGGAGUCAGCCUCCAACUUCCCUGUUUGGUUACUCUUUAAGUAAUUUUACAAUAAUUUUAAAAAAAUUGUGAAAAUACACAAAAAUUACACAUAUUUUCAGUUUGUGAUAAAUAUCUGCAUUUGAUGUCCACAAAGUCUGACUCUUAAUUUAUGAAAAGGUGAAUGGGAUUGAUGCAAAGUAACAGUCUGGGAAGCUCCCUGCAUAUAAACGUGAAGUCCUUUUAGUUGAUUAAAACGUCUGAGGAACACGUCCAACUCCUCACAAGGACGCACGCCGCCGCACACGCAACGACAGCGAGAUGAGGACGAGAUGGAUAUGAGUACACCUCAGAGUUUGGCUGCAAGCCUCUGCAGAUGAAACGGGACGUGUAUGAAGUGACACAAGGGAGCAAAUAGGAAAAAAAAUCUGUUUAAACGCCGUGGGCCGCGCCAGAGGGACUCUGACUAGAACACAUGGACGCGGUGUCACAGUAUCUCAGCCCGUCACCGUGUGUGUGUGCGCCCCGGCCUGACAGGUGCCACACAGCAUCGACGCAAACGGCCGUCAGAGGGGUCUUGGAUCCGCUGCCAACGCUCUCAUCUACUCCGGUUGCAACCUAAUGAGCGAGAAGGGGUACACGAGGUCUAUGUGGCCACUCAAACAUUUUCCCGGUCUGACUACCCACACCGGAUCCGACUCCCAAUCAUGGGCUAAUAUGGAAGAGGGUAAAGAGCAGAGCAGUUAAAGAGGUGGAUGAGGCAUCUCUCCUUCAGGAUUCCUAAAAGAUUCGAGGACAUCAGCCCCGUCUAGACAAAGUCCUCUAAUCUAGUUACAGGAAAAAAAAAAAAAAGAGGAGGUGCACGUCGCCCCUUUCGCUCGCAUGUACACGUUGCCGUGGCAACACCGAACACAGAGGCAGCGAAAAGGAGCAGCCAGUCUUUUAUGAGGCUGAGCGAGAGCAGCGACACCUGUACGACUCCAGUAACCAUAACUCAACACAGACACCGGCUGAGGGUUUAGCUGAUUUGAAGCCUGUUUUGGAGUCCAGUGUCCACUUGACCACCUCAAACCCAUUGGAUAAAGCCGCCCACCUCAGAUUUCCAGCACCGGAACACACAGGUAACCCACCCGCCCACAACCCCCACCCCCAUGUGUGCACAGGGAAGCAGCCGCUCAUAAAAUGAAGAGAUCACAGGCUUAUCGAAUAACUGGGGGGUCAAAGGUCAGCAGCUGUUGCUUUAUUGCUUUGAGUUCACAUAUAACAUAUAUAAGUGUCAGAUAGAAGUAAAAAAAAAA
Molecule: long non-coding RNA, 1345 nt
Organism: Oryzias melastigma (Indian medaka)
Lineage: Eukaryota; Metazoa; Chordata; Actinopteri; Beloniformes; Adrianichthyidae
Exons: 2
Source: RefSeq, a predicted model, not a curated record